RNAcentral lists this ribosomal RNA (497 nucleotides) under uncultured bacterium. RNAcentral's name for it is "partial 16S ribosomal RNA". It matches the Rfam family "Bacterial small subunit ribosomal RNA", at positions 28 to 507 of the family's 1533-position model. The record is from RNAcentral.
GAUGAACGCUGGCGGCGUGCCUAAUACAUGCAAGUCGAGCGAACAGACGAGGAGCUUGCUCCUCUGACGUUAGCGGCGGACGGGUGAGUAACACGUGGAUAACCUACCUAUAAGACUGGGAUAACUUCGGGAAACCGGAGCUAAUACCGGAUAAUAUAUUGAACCGCAUGGUUCAAUAGUGAAAGACGGUUUUGCUGUCACUUAUAGAUGGAUCCGCGCCGCAUUAGCUAGUUGGUAAGGUAACGGCUUACCAAGGCAACGAUGCGUAGCCGACCUGAGAGGGUGAUCGGCCACACUGGAACUGAGACACGGUCCAGACUCCUACGGGAGGCAGCAGUAGGGAAUCUUACGCAAUGGGCGAAAGCCUGACGGAGCAACGCCGCGUGAGUGAUGAAGGUCUUCGGAUCGUAAAGCUCUGUUAUUAGGGAAGAACAAAUGUGUAAGUAACUAUGCACGUCUUGACGGUACCUAAUCAGAAAGCCACGGCUAACUACGUG